AAAUGGGGAUUACCUUAGUACGGCGAGUGAAGCGGUAAAAGCUCAAAUUUGAAAUCUGGUACUUUCAGUGCCCGAGUUGUAAUUUGUAGAAUUUGUCUUUGAUUAGGUCCUUGUCUAUGUUCCUUGGAACAGGACGUCAUAGAGGGUGAGAAUCCCGUUUGGCGAGGAUACCUUUUCUUUGUAAGACUUUUUCGAAGAGUCGAGUUGUUUGGGAAUGCAGCUCAAAGUGGGUGGUAAAUUCCAUCUAAAGCUAAAUAUUGGCGAGAGACCGAUAGCGAACAAGUACAGUGAUGGAAAGAUGAAAAGAACUUUGAAAAGAGAGUGAAAAAGUACGUGAAAUUGUUGAAAGGGAAGGGCAUUUGAUCAGACAUGGUGUUUUUUGCAUGCACUCGCCUCUCGUGGGCUUGGGCCUCUCAAAAAUUUCACUGGGCCAACAUCAAUUCUGGCAGCAGGAUAAAUCAUUAAGAAUGUAGCUACUUCGGUAGUGUUAUAGCUUUUUGGAAUACUGUUAGCCGGGAUUGAGGACUGCGCUUCGGCAAGGAUGUUGGCAUAAUGGUUAAAUGCCGCCCGUCUUGAAMMMMMGGRAMCAAUAC
RNAcentral lists this ribosomal RNA (593 nucleotides) under Hanseniaspora uvarum. RNAcentral's name for it is "partial large subunit ribosomal RNA". It matches the Rfam family "Eukaryotic large subunit ribosomal RNA", at positions 66 to 664 of the family's 3401-position model. Lineage: Eukaryota; Fungi; Ascomycota; Saccharomycetes; Saccharomycodales; Saccharomycodaceae. The record is from RNAcentral.